This is a non-coding RNA of Equus caballus (horse), 6835 nucleotides long. NCBI's taxonomy places the organism in Eukaryota, Metazoa, Chordata, Mammalia, Perissodactyla, Equidae. The record is from RefSeq and is a predicted model, not a curated record.
UCACAGAUAAAAUAUUGUGUGGUCAUAAACCCUGGAGGCAACUCUAUGUUUGACUUAGGUACUUUGCAGAAUAUGAAAAAAAAGAAAUGUGUGUUUCCCUCUGCAAACUAAUCUUGCAGUCAAUGCUCCAGCUCUUUUUGUUUCUGAUAAAUAUCUUUCACUAAACUAAAUAUAACAAUGUUUUUCAAGAACAUUACAGAAAAUCCUAAGGCAGCAUGAAUGAGCUGCUAUAGGGGCACAGGAUGCAUUGGGCCACUCUCGGGAAGUUUUGCAUGUAACAGUUAUAUUGGGGGCAAUUGAGCUGGUUCUCAGGGCCUUUUCUGCUUUAACUGGCUUUCUCAGAAUGUGCCAGAAGGCCCUCCUAACAGUAGCCCCAUAAGAGCAAACACAAGCCCGGGCAAACCUACUGCUCCAACUGCUCCCUGACUCCUUCCAUCCUUGAUGGCAGAACUUCUCCUCCAUUCAAGGAAGAAAUCCAGUUCUGGAGGCAAGGCUUGUAUUUAAAGAGGCUCUGGCUCCGGGCAGGUGUGAGUCCUUCAUCCCUUUCAUCCUUUAUCACAGAAACAGCCCUCCAGAAGUUCUCAGAGGUGAAAAUAACCUCAGCUGAGGAACUUCACUUUGGAGAGACUGGAUGUGGCCAGUUUAAGACAGAAAAUAUUAUGAGAUACCGCAAUCUAUAAACCCAUAACUGCAUGGGAUAACUGCACGGGAUAAAACGUAGCACAGCUUUAAUUUAUAAAUAUUUUCUUCAAAUAUCAAGCCAAGCGCAAACAGAGACUUAUCAUGAGAAGGGAAAUUUAAUAUUAUUACCUAAUCCUUGAAAGUGAAAAAAACAGGCAACAAUGUUAUGGUUGCAACCCCAGUUGUAAGGUUAGGACUGAUUUAGAGGAAAAAAGUCUAUUUUUAGAUUCUGUUUCACAGGAUAUCCAAUAAUGUGGCAAACAUUGGGAUCAGGUUUGAUGACAAUAAUGCUGUCCAUGAGAAGCAGCAGGUGGUGUGAUGCUAAACAUGUUUUGGGUGUGUCUAAUUAUUAAAAUAUUCUGGAACAGCCAAGAGAGGUCAGUAGAGGCACUGACCAUGUACUAUUUCACAGCAACUGUGUAGACCUUGCGUUUGCUGUUCUGUGUCCGUGUAAAGUUUUCUGCCUGAUUUUUCUUUUAAAGGUCCUCCUCUUCCUCCCAGCUUUGCCCAUACCACAGUGCUUCCUUCAAGUGUGGGGGAGGAGGGAAAUGGGAGCCCCUCCAUCCUUUCAUCUUCUUUUCUUUCGGCUUCAUCCUGAUCUUCACCCGUGAAAUUUUUCCUCAGGAGUUUGCCUUUCUUCAUCCUUUUGAAAAUCACACUCCUUGUGACACAGUCAAAGGAACAUGACCCCCUGAAAACCAGCCGCUUGGGAAUGACCUUCAACUGUGGGUGGUGAUCAUCACAGGGUCCAAAAUUGCAGAUUCUUCUUCAUCUCUACAGGGGAACACAGCAUGAAAUGGACUACCACCACGGGAUGAUUUUAAGUUAACCAUAAAUGAAGAGCACACUAACAACCACCACAGAUUUGCUCUAAUGUCACACAGAGAAGAUUCUAGAACUUCUCUCCAAACCAUUGAUGGGGCCUAUGAGGUUUAGAUACAGUCUGUUAAAACACACAGAAGGUCUAGAGCUGCACGUCCAAUACAGUAGUCACUCCACAUGUGGCUGUUGAACACCAGAAAUGUGGCCAGCAUGACUGAGGCACUGAGUGUUAUACUUUAUUUAAUCUCAAUUAAUUUAAAUUUAAAUUUUAAAAUGGAAGCAGUGUAAAAUAUUUUUCUGUUAAAUACAGCUUUACUGUUUUGAUAGGACUACACUUGAUUUCAGCUGUGACAUCAUGUGAGACAUUAGUGUUGCAGAGCACAUGUCAGCACAGAGAUCCUCUAAAGAGUUUUACAAGCCUGCCUACACAAACGGACACAUCUCUGAAGAUAUACCUGUCUCCCCAAGCCGUGGACAUUUACAAUGAAACCUUUCAACUCUGAGCCUUUUGCAACCAUGAUUUCAAAACAGAAGACACAGGUUCGGGAAUAGACCAUAAAUACUCCAAACAGGACUUCCACAGGGCUUCUCUGCUACCAGGAGAUGGCCUACGGCUGGUGAGGGAGUCUGCGUGGGACAUGAUUAAUAAGAGACCUUUGGGAGACAGAAAUGUUCUGUAAACAGCAAUGUAGGUAGAUCUGAAGAUCAAUAGCUUUGGGGAAACUGAAAGUCUAAAAUUUACUCAGGUCUACUUUUUGUUUAUUUCUUUAAUGCACAGAUAUUCCGAGAUUUCACUUUACCAGCAUCUUCAUUUUAAAUAACAUCCAUACACAACCUGAACUGCAGAAGUUUAGAAACUAAAUGCCUAUCUGUCCCUCUAUUUAAUUAACAAACACAUUCACAUCUAACCAUCGCGGAUCUUGAGUGACUUUCCUUUCUUCCAUACGUGAACAUAAUAAAGUGCCCCUCCGCUCCCAUGCCAGCCGUAGAGUCCUUUUGAAAUUUCCUUUUAGAGAAUUUAUAGAUUUUUGUAGCUUUCUCUGGUAUACAACUAUCCCAUAAUAAAAGCAGUUAAAAAGUUAAGCACAAUAUGUUGAAAGAUACAGACGUACCUAACAAGAAGAAACUCAGUAACAGUCCACAUCCCCAGGCAGGAAGAAAGCAAACCAGCAACUGCUGAUUGAUCUCAGUUUAAAGCUAAAUCACAUAUUCUUCCCUCUUUACACUUAAGUGUCAUAACUUAGCGAAGCUUAAAAAAUUAGAAAUCAAGUUUGGGAGAUGGAUAUUGGUGACGGUUCCACAAAAUGUGAAUGUACUUAAUGUCACUGAAUUGUACACUUAAAAAUGAUUUAAGUAGUAAAUUUUAUGUUAUGUUUUACCCCAAUAACAAAUUUUUUAAAUUAGAAAUUAUAAAAUAUUUAAAGAAUAGUUGAAUAAUAGGUGGAAUGAAAUUGUAAAAAAGUAACCUUUUAUUGUGCCUUUUAGGCAAACAGAAAGACUUUCAGAGUUGACCAGCUGCAAACCCAGGGAGAAUUUACAAGUACCAUGCAUAGUUCUAUUUCUCAAACACUCUGUGGACUGAGGUCCACUCAUGCUUUUGCUUCCUAAACCAAAAAAAAGAGCAGGAUAUCCGAUGAUUAAAAAGACAAGCGUUUCCAAAUUUAAAAUAUGGCUUUACUCUGCUUCUGGAAAGGACCCUCUCUGCUGGUUUUUCCUGUCUGGACAUCUCCAGUCAUAGUCAUCUAGUCACCCAAGUCCACAUGGCAUUAUUUGAGAUUUUAAAAAAUACAAUUUUAAUUUGUGUUAAGUCAUACUUAUUUAUGUCGAUAUACUUUUUUCUACUGGCACAUCGUGUACAUCAGUUCACUGUGGGAAAGUCCUACCAAAGCUAUAUACAGGUUUUGUUAGACGUUUAGCAUCUAUUUCCCAAAAUCCACUAGUAAAGGACUCCAAAAAGGUAAUAAGGUCAUCCAGUUCAUUUUAUUAUAAUGUCCUGUCACCCGGGAAAUGUGUGCCUUACGUGCCCCAGAAAUAUCUGACUAUAACCAAAUAGAAAAACAAGCCAUUAGAAUUUCUCCCUGACAAUGGCCUUCGUUUACAACCAGCCAGUAUACGAUGAAAGUUUCUGCUCCUUUUCCACAUAAGUUAUUUUUCCAGCUGAAAAUUGUUCCCAGCUGUUCUGACCCAGAUGUGUUGGCAGCCCAUGCUGUGAGGGCCAUUUUACAGGUGAUGAAGCCCUCAGACCAUAAAGUUUACACGACUUGUAUACAGCUGGUAUCCAAUACAACUUUGGACUUCUAACACUGCCCCCUCCAAAAAAAGAAAAAAUCAGUGAUUUCCUGACACUUCACUUGGAGCAUAGUUAAAGGGAAUUUCAGGGCUGUAGGCCCUAACUUAUGUAGGCCCUGAGUUAACGAAGCAAGAGUAAGAUGAAUUACCCAGUUUUCCCCUUCCCUUCAGGAAUUCAGCCUACUUCAACUGAAAAUAGUUCUGGAUCGGUAAGAAAAGUGAUCAGAAACUGUCCCAGGGGGUUGGCUUCUCAGGUAAGUCAUGAUAUCUGAAUGAGCCCAUUGAGUUGUCAUUCAUCUUUUAGCUUUACAUUAUCCCUUUCUAGACUGUACCAACUUCACUCUUCCCUUCACAUUUAAACGAAAGGUCGUCUUCAUUACACAGAAGCGGUUUGUAACUUGGUGCAAUAUAUUUCCUCAGGGAGUCAUAGGAUAACCAAAGCAAUGGGUGAUAAUUAAGGUGACUGUACUCCAGGUUUCUCCAGGACAGUCCCAGGCAGUUUAACAUAUAUCUAGUGCUUCAUUUUUUAACAAAACAAAACAUUAUUCAUAAUGGCGGAAUUAAACACAUUGCGAUGGAUUUAGUAGACCUCCACUUGGCAUUCCCAGUCUCUGCCAGUCUUGAAGAGUAGUAAUGGGACACGUGUGUAGUAAACUGAGUUCUCAUUUUCCUCUGGUAAAAUCUGAAGGAUGACCAACAAUACCCUUCUCUCUUUUCCGAACCAUUCUCUGAUAAGGCACAAUUAACAUCGCCUUUGGACAGCAUAAUAAAGCAUAGUGUGCCCAGCCACCAGUUCCUAGGGACGCAGUGGUGGUGAGAGAUCUUGCAGCCUGCCACCUCUCACUAGUCCCUGCUGGGGCCUGGGAGGUCCGUGAAGCUGCCUGGCCAUACAUCAGCAGCGUCAGUGGGAAAUGUGAGAAAGUGUGGGGUAGGUGUAGGUGAAACAUGUGCAGGAACGGGGCUGAGCAGCCCCGUGAUAGAGUGUACAGAAUGGAGUUUGAAUACCCCUGCUUCCAGUGGCUUUGUCAUUUACAGUGAAGUGCAUCUACAACUAUUCUUUAAUGCGUUAUUGGGUAACAACAUAUCUUUCUUUUGCAAUAAACUCUUUUGGCAGAAAUUAGCUUGAAAAGAUCAAAGUACAUUUUUAGGGAAAAAUUAAAAUAUUAAAGUCGUAGAUGAAUGUACACCUUACAAAAAAAUAUUUAUUUACAUCUAGCUUCUACUAUGGGGAUGUCAUAAUACCAUAGGCCACAUGAAAACCAGAAAACAGAAAUUUGCUGAAGAAGCAUCAGCAUUUACCUCAAAACUUAGUUGUUAUUUUAACUAGAUGGUGCUCAGAGAUGAUGACUCAACAAAGGCAGCUGCACAAGGUGCACUGUCAUAUCGCUCUGUGAUGCUUAAUUUUUCAUUAGAUGUAACGACCGUUCGUCUAAACUAAUUUCACUCAUUUUCAAUUCCAACGUUCUUGUGAAUAACUGAAAAACGAAGCGUUAGCUGCUAAUGAGUCUCCUUUAGCAGAAGCAGAAUUAUGUAAACAGUGAUACAACACCAGCUUUAUAUCAGGGUUAUCAGAUGCUUCAAAUAAGAAAUCUGUGAAUUUUAACAAUGGUUUAUUUUUGUAAAAACUUGAUUCAUGGAAUAAAAUUAAACCUUUGCAAAGUUCAUUCUGUCAAAGGUGAAAAAUCUAACAUUAUUCUGAUUGCUAUUAUAAACCUAGUUUAAAAGUUUGUGAUCGGAGAGAAAAUUUGUUUUUGAGGUGAUACUUUUUGGUGGCCAGAAUCCCGGUAGAAACAAUAGUCUUACUAAAUUAAGAACCGAUGGAGGAGAAAUAGAUUUGGUCUGGGUGGUGGAAAGUAUGUAAUUAGUACUUUCAUCCAAAUAAGAUAUCUGGUCUGCCAAUGGAAAUGGAAGAUGAGUUGUCACAUUUUACACACACACAUACACACACACACACAUAAAGUAAGGGGAUCACAAAAUUCUCCUUCCUGGCUACCAAUUGACUUAGAAUAUCUAAGCCUUUAUGAUAAACUACUUUGUUAAAUUCAACCUAAGUGUCCUAUGCUACUCCAAAUUUUGGUUGCGUUUUGUUCAAAAUCAUCUGGAAGUCUUCAAAGUAUUGAGUGAAUGGAGCUUUUGGGUUUUUUGAAACUCAGCUUUGGAGCUUGAAGUUUCAGAAAAUUGCAAUUACUGAAAACCAAGCUGACAAACAGGCAGGACCAGCUACAUAAUUUUCAGGGCCCAGAGGAAAGUGAAAAUGCAGAGCCUCUUAUUGAAAAAUUAAGAAUUUCAAGAUGGCAACAGCAGGGCAGUAACUGAAGUGUGGAGCCCUUCUAAGCCCUGGGUUCUGUGUGACUGCAGAGUCACAAGCCCAUGAAGCCAGCUCUGCAAACAGGAAGACAUUGAAAUUUACCCUGCAGGAUUGGGGGUGGGAGGCAGGGUGUACAAUGAGCACAUUAAUGAAAUAUAAGAUUUCAUUUUGAAAUUCUAUAAUUGUGCCCUGGAUGAUCUCAAUGUGUGAGAAGAAUAUGUUGACGGAGCUCCUAUUUUUAUUUGGAUAAAUUUAGAUUCUGCCCCUGAAUAGAAUGUAAUUGAGAAGGUCUACAAUUUUGAAUCACCCAAAUUUGGUGAACCAUUCAAAAGAAUCAUAAAUAGAGGCUACUUAGUUGACAAGUUGUAUCAUAAAAAUAUUUGUCAAAGAAACGUACUCAGAAUAGAGGCCAAAAUUACCUGAGAAAAUAUUUGGACUGAAUUAUUUACAUAUUUCAAUAUUUUUAAAAAUUAGAAUCAAGAAUGGCCUUUAUUUAGCAGAAUUGCUCUCAGCUUACCAGGGAAUUCAACACCUGUAUAGAGGGUAUUUUUCUCAAUUAAAUAUAUUGUGGUCUACAGAGAAGUCAAUUGAAGAGCAGCAAUUUCAAAUUUAUUAAAGCUGAAAUGCAGACAAUUUUGUGGAAAAAGUGAAAAUAAUAAAACAAUUGAAAACUACACUCUGUAGAAGAAUAGCAUGACAGAUAGGCUAAGAAACUGAUUAGGGGCUGGCCCUGUG